ACCUGACUGGUUCAGUUGGUAGAGCCCACAACUCUUGAUCUUGGGGUCAUGAGUUCGAGCCCCAUGUUGGGUG
RNAcentral lists this transfer RNA (73 nucleotides) under Mustela putorius furo (domestic ferret). It matches the Rfam family "tRNA". Rfam says of the family: Transfer RNA (tRNA) molecules are approximately 80 nucleotides in length. Their secondary structure includes four short double-helical elements and three loops (D, anti-codon, and T loops). The record is from Rfam by way of RNAcentral. Lineage: Eukaryota; Metazoa; Chordata; Mammalia; Carnivora; Mustelidae.